RNAcentral lists this ribosomal RNA (274 nucleotides) under uncultured Prevotella sp. Its description in RNAcentral is "partial 16S ribosomal RNA". It matches the Rfam family "Bacterial small subunit ribosomal RNA", at positions 82 to 354 of the family's 1533-position model. The record is from RNAcentral. Lineage: Bacteria; Pseudomonadati; Bacteroidota; Bacteroidia; Bacteroidales; Prevotellaceae.
UUUAUGAUGGCGACCGGCGCACGGGUGAGUAACGCGUAUCCAACCUACCCAUUACUAGGGAAUAACCCAGCGAAAGUUGGCCUAAUGCCCUAUGUAGUCGUUUGAUCGCCUGAGAUUUCGACGAAAGAUUUAUCGGUAUUGGAUGGGGAUGCGUCUGAUUAGCUUGUUGGCGGGGUAAAGGCCCACCAAGGCAACGAUCAGUAGGGGUUCUGAGAGGAAGGUCCCCCACAUUGGAACUGAGACACGGUCCAAACUCCUACGGGAGGCAGCAGGG